AAGGAGUUAGGUUAAUAAGACCAUUAGCCUUCAAAGCUGAUAGUGGAAAUAUUUUUUCCAGGCCUUA
Molecule: transfer RNA, 67 nt
Filed under: Epigonichthys cultellus
Lineage: Eukaryota; Metazoa; Chordata; Leptocardii; Amphioxiformes; Branchiostomatidae
Description: tRNA-Trp
Rfam family: tRNA
About the family: Transfer RNA (tRNA) molecules are approximately 80 nucleotides in length.
Source: RNAcentral